GUCUUUGGACUUGAAACCAAAAUGAGGAUGGCUAAAGCUAUUCUUCAUUUUUCAGGAAGUAGUACCACAGCUGAAGUUAGCAGUUGGAACCAGAAAGAAAGUCCACUAUCUCAUGUUCAAUGGGAAUAGAGCAGAGAGUGAUAUGCUGUGACUAUGAGAUGAGUGGGAUGCCAUCAAGUAAUGGAAAUGGAAGGCCAGCAGAGAGCAAUGCCAAGCAGAAAACUAUACAUUCAGCUGACCUGGCUUCCCAACCAGAUCUGUGCUGUGUGUUUAUAAUAUUCUAAGGUUCUUGAAGUCAUCAGUGAUUCAUUCAGCUGAAAUGAGUGGGCCACCAUCAAAGGAAUAAAUGGAUCAAAUGUAGCA
Molecule: long non-coding RNA, 363 nt
Filed under: Phascolarctos cinereus (koala)
Lineage: Eukaryota; Metazoa; Chordata; Mammalia; Diprotodontia; Phascolarctidae
Description: lncRNA (ENSPCIG00000010625.2)
Source: RNAcentral